GUCGAACGAUGAACCUUAGCUUGCUAAGGGGAUUAGUGGCGAACGGGUGAGUAAUAUAUCGGAACGUACCUUGUAAUGGGGGAUAACUAGUCGAAAGAUUAGCUAAUACCGCAUACGCCCUGAGGGGGAAAGUAGGGGAUCUUCGGACCUUACGUUAUAAGAGCGGCCGAUAUCUGAUUAGCUAGUUGGUGGGGUAAUGGCCUACCAAGGCGACGAUCAGUAGCUGGUCUGAGAGGACGACCAGCCACACUGGAACUGAGACACGGUCCAGACUCCUACGGGAGGCAGCAGUGGGGAAUUUUGGACAAUGGGCGCAAGCCUGAUCCAGCCAUUCCGCGUGAGUGAAGAAGGCCUUCGGGUUGUAAAGCUCUUUCGCAAGGGAAGAAAACUUACCAUCGAAUAAAUGGUGAGGCUGACGGUACCUUGAUAAGAAGCACCGGCUAACUACGUGCCAGCAGCCGCGGUAAUACGUAGGGUGCGAGCGUUAAUCGGAAUUACUGGGCGUAAAGCGUGCGCAGGCGGUUUGGCAAGUCAGAUGUGAAAUCCCCGAGCUCAACUUGGGAACUGCGUUUGAAACUGCCAGACUAGAAUAUGUCAGAGGGGGGUAGAAUUCCACGUGUAGCAGUGAAAUGCGUAGAGAUGUGGAGGAAUACCAAUGGCGAAGGCAGCCCCCUGGGAUAAUAUUGACGCUCAUGCACGAAAGCGUGGGGAGCAAACAGGAUUAGAUACCCUGGUAGUCCACGCCCUAAACGAUGUCUACUAGUUGUUGGUGGAGUAAAAUCCAUGAGUAACGCAGCUAACGCG
This 804-nucleotide ribosomal RNA is filed under the name Methylophilus leisingeri. Its description in RNAcentral is "bacterial SSU rRNA". It matches the Rfam family "Bacterial small subunit ribosomal RNA", at positions 61 to 859 of the family's 1533-position model. The record is from RNAcentral. Lineage: Bacteria; Pseudomonadati; Pseudomonadota; Betaproteobacteria; Nitrosomonadales; Methylophilaceae.